This 1160-nucleotide long non-coding RNA is filed under the name Coffea arabica (coffee). RNAcentral's name for it is "long non-coding RNA (CARA_LNC000120)". The record is from RNAcentral. Lineage: Eukaryota; Viridiplantae; Streptophyta; Magnoliopsida; Gentianales; Rubiaceae.
CAUAAAGUUAAUCGCCAAUGAACCAAGGAGAUGAGAAUAACAUUCCAUAAGACUAUAGUGGAACAACACGGUUUAAGGACAGCCAUUGAGUAGUGCUUCAUUUGUAUUGUUUUCAGCAAACCAAGCCUAUCCAACAAGCUCUGCAAAAGCCACCUCAAAUGGGCGAAGAAAAGGAGAAAAAAAAAGGUUAGCAUGUAUAAUACUCUAAUUUGUUAGCUACCUAUCCUAUCUUGUGCAUAUAAACUAAUUUUACUCAAAUUAUGCUUAUUCCAGCAUCUAAGAUAUGCACUAUUAUUGUUGGUGCCUGCAAAAUUUUGUAUGGAUAUGCAUUUUGCUGCAAUUCGAAGAGAAAAAGAAUAUACUGGUAUUCUACAGCCAAUAGUCCAUGUACACAUUCAAGUCUAUGAAUAUAUUAAUAUUGUUUCACAAGCCUUGAAGUAGUCUUAGCACAACAUCAGACAUAGUCAGUCUUCAUCUAUCAAGAAGUAGACAGCAACCUAUUUACCAACACACAACGACGGAAUUAGUGCUACCAUAACUUGUAAAUAGUUGGGCGAACAUGAGUGCUACAUACUUCAGGGGAUUAACAAUGUUGCAGUCCUUUAACUAUUGAUGAAUCUCCAAAUCAGAAGUCCUGGACAACUUCUGUAGCCAAAUUUUGAUUAUUUCUUUAAUUCGCAUUCGCCGACUCAAACAUAAAACAUAAGCAAUAUUGUGACUUGACAGCUUUUGCUUCUUACUCAAGAUAUUGAAAUAAACUAGAAAGCCAACUCAAAUAGAAGGGCCGACACAAAAGAAUACUACAUUAUAAUAACCCCCUCUUUCUUUGUAUUUAGAGCCAAAAACCCCCUUUAUUGGUGAAAAGAAAGAAGAGCAAAGAUUGCAUGAUGAUAAAAGAGGCCAAAGCAGCAAUUGGUAUGCUUCAUUGAGUGAUGAACAACGGAAGCAGUACAACAAAAGAUGCGCUCAAACAAAUAAGGCACGAAAAGCUACCUCUAUGAAUCCAGCAACAAUAUCCAAAUCACAAGGUUGUCAACUUUUCUCUACAACUAUUGUUUGAUGGAAAAUUAUGCGGCCAAUUAUAUAGUAUAAGUAUUAACUUCUCCUCUUUAUUUUUCCCCAAAAAAAUUCUGAUGCACAAAAUGGUGAACCAAAUAUUA